UGGCUCAGAUUGAACGCUGGCGGCAGGCCUAACACAUGCAAGUCGAGCGGAUGAAGGGAGCUUGCUCCUGGAUUCAGCGGCGGACGGGUGAGUAAUGCCUAGGAAUCUGCCUGGUAGUGGGGGAUAACGUCCGGAAACGGGCGCUAAUACCGCAUACGUCCUGAGGGAGAAAGUGGGGGAUCUUCGGACCUCACGCUAUCAGAUGAGCCUAGGUCGGAUUAGCUAGUUGGUGGGGUAAAGGCCUACCAAGGCGACGAUCCGUAACUGGUCUGAGAGGAUGAUCAGUCACACUGGAACUGAGACACGGUCCAGACUCCUACGGGAGGCAGCAGUGGGGAAUAUUGGACAAUGGGCGAAAGCCUGAUCCAGCCAUGCCGCGUGUGUGAAGAAGGUCUUCGGAUUGUAAAGCACUUUAAGUUGGGAGGAAGGGCAGUAAGUUAAUACCUUGCUGUUUGACGUACCAACAG
RNAcentral lists this ribosomal RNA (467 nucleotides) under Pseudomonas aeruginosa. RNAcentral describes it as "bacterial SSU rRNA". It matches the Rfam family "Bacterial small subunit ribosomal RNA", at positions 20 to 484 of the family's 1533-position model. Lineage: Bacteria; Pseudomonadati; Pseudomonadota; Gammaproteobacteria; Pseudomonadales; Pseudomonadaceae. The record is from RNAcentral.